This is a long non-coding RNA of Oncorhynchus gorbuscha (pink salmon), 570 nucleotides long. RefSeq lists it as uncharacterized. The record is from RefSeq and is a predicted model, not a curated record. The transcript is spliced from 4 exons. Lineage: Eukaryota; Metazoa; Chordata; Actinopteri; Salmoniformes; Salmonidae.
AAAGAUACAGGAAGGGUGAUUUCCUACCUUGGAGCAUCUGGUUUUACAUUCCUGGAUCCUCUCCAUUCCUUCCCCUUGGGCCAGAGAGAGCCCAUAGAGAGACACCAUCAAUAUAUUGGUUAAAAUCAUCUUUACUCCCAGUCCUGCGACCUAACUACAGUGCUGAAGUCUGUUCAAAGUUUGGUUGGGAGAUGUCUUCUUUCAGACAGAUGUUUAUUCCUGUUGGCACGACGAACAAAGAAUCCCGGUGGCUGUAUCUACUCCAACAGCAUGUUCCCAGAGAGCCAUGUUUCUGUGAAACAGAGUAUGUUUCAAUCCCGGAAGUGUCUCUGCAAAGCAACCCUUGCCCUAAAUUUGUCAAUAGCAUGAGAAAAGCACAGUAUGGCAUCUGAGCUGAUCAUCAUGAAUGUCAUGUAGUCAUCAGCCAAUACAGAUACAUCAGGAGAAGUUGUUUUUCUGUUGGCACCAAUCCCAUGCUGACAGGCUGCCAAGUCAACUACUUUAUCCCCCUCAUACUAAACUUUGCUCACUCUUGUUCAACUGCCCUUUGAUUAAAUCAGUUAAAUUCAA